RNAcentral lists this long non-coding RNA (218 nucleotides) under Setaria viridis. Its description in RNAcentral is "long non-coding RNA (SVIR_LNC002097)". The record is from RNAcentral. Lineage: Eukaryota; Viridiplantae; Streptophyta; Magnoliopsida; Poales; Poaceae.
ACUUGUUUUGCAUUGCAUUGCAUUGGCGUUAGGCUUGUCACAAAGAAGAUACCACUCUUAGAGAAUGUUGUUCACUCUCAAUGUAGAUCAACAACUAAAUAAGUGUGAUUAGAGCAAUGAUUGUGCUUCCAUGCCUAUGGAGUCAUGUCCUAACGAACUUAAAUUUUCCAUCUCUAAGUUCAUAGGCAAAUGACUCACAUUCCCUUUUUGGAGUUCCC